CGUGUUUACUGUACCUUAGUUGCUUCGGCGGGCCCGCCAUUCAUGGCCGCCGGGGGCUCUCAGCCCCGGGCCCGCGCCCGCCGGAGACACCACGAACUCUGUCUGAUCUAGUGAAGUCUGAGUUGAUUGUAUCGCAAUCAGUUAAAACUUUCAACAAUGGAUCUCUUGGUUCCGGCAUCGAUGAAGAACGCAGCGAAAUGCGAUAACUAGUGUGAAUUGCAGAAUUCCGUGAAUCAUCGAGUCUUUGAACGCACAUUGCGCCCCCUGGUAUUCCGGGGGGCAUGCCUGUCCGAGCGUCAUUGCUGCCCAUCAAGCACGGCUUGUGUGUUGGGUCGUCGUCCCCUCUCCGGGGGGGACGGGCCCCAAAGGCAGCGGCGGCACCGCGUCCGAUCCUCGAGCGUAUGGGGCUUUGUCACCCGCUCUGUAGGCCCGGCCGGCGCUUGCCGAACGCAAAUCAAUCUUUUUCCAGGUUGACCUCGGAUCAGGUAGGGAUACCCGCUGAACUUAAGCAUAUCGAAGGCCGGAGGAGAAGAUCAUUACCGAGUGUAGGGUUCCUAGCGAGCCAACUCCACCCGUGUUUACUGUACCUUAGUUGCUUGGCGGGCCGCCAUUCAUGGCCGCCGGGGGCUCUCAGCCCGGGCCGCGCCCGCCAGAGACACCACGAACUCUGUCUGAUCUAGUGAAGUCUGAGUUGAUUGUAUCGCAAUCGUUAAAACUUUUCACAUGGUAUCUUUGGUUUGCGCUCAUGAAGAACGCACAAAAUGCAUAACUAAUGUGUAAUUGUGCAAAUCUGCAGAUCAUCAGCUCUUUCUAUGCAUCUGCUCCGCGCCUAUUCUGUGCGGCAGGCGAUCCACGCUCAUGCCGCUAUGCACGCCUUCGGCGUGUGGUGUUGUUGCCUCCCGGGCGCCGAACGGCGCAGAGAAGACGGCGACACGCAAAUCUCG
This 944-nucleotide ribosomal RNA is filed under the name Aspergillus sp. SZN15k. Its description in RNAcentral is "eukaryotic LSU rRNA". The stretch from base 146 to 299 matches the Rfam family "5.8S ribosomal RNA". The record is from RNAcentral. Lineage: Eukaryota; Fungi; Ascomycota; Eurotiomycetes; Eurotiales; Aspergillaceae.